This 329-nucleotide ribosomal RNA is filed under the name uncultured eukaryote. Its description in RNAcentral is "partial 18S ribosomal RNA". It matches the Rfam family "Eukaryotic small subunit ribosomal RNA", at positions 1470 to 1796 of the family's 1831-position model. The record is from RNAcentral.
CCCUUAGAUGUUCGGGGCCGCACGCGCGCUACACUGAAGGACUCAGCGUGUCUCUCCCCCUAUCCCGAAAGGGAUGGGCAACCCGUUGAACCUCCUUCGUGCUAGGGAUUGGGGUUUGCAAUUAUCCCCCAUGAACGAGGAAUUCCCAGUAAGCGCGAGUCAUCAGCUCGCGUUGAUUACGUCCCUGCCCUUUGUACACACCGCCCGUCGCUCCUACCGAUUGAAUGGUCCGGUGAAAUCUUCGGAUUGCUGACCAAGAUCCAGCAAUGGAGCUUGGUUGCGAGAAGUUGAUUAAACCUUAUUAUUUAGAGGAAGGAGAAGUCGUAACA